AUUGAACGCUGGCGGCAUGCUUUACACAUGCAAGUCGAACGGUAACAGGGUGCUUGCACCGCUGACGAGUGGCGAACGGGUGAGUAAUGCGUCGGAAUGUACCGUGUAAUUGGGGAUAGCUCGGCGAAAGCCGGAUUAAUACCGCAUACGCCCUGAUGGGGAAAGUGGGGGACCGAAAGGCCUCACGUUAUACGAGCAGCCGAUGUCUGAUUAGCUAGUUGGUGAGGUAAAGGCUCACCAAGGCGUCGAUCAGUAGCGGGUCUGAGAGGAUGAUCCGCCACACUGGGACUGAGACACGGCCCAGACUCCUACGGGAGGCAGCAGUGGGGAAUUUUGGACAAUGGGCGCAAGCCUGAUCCAGCCAUGCCGCGUGUCUGAAGAAGGCCUUCGGGUUGUAAAGGACUUUUGUCCGGGAGCAAAUCCUAGUGGUUAAUACCUACUGGGGCUGAGAGUACCGGAAGAAUAAGCACCGGCUAACUACGUG
RNAcentral lists this ribosomal RNA (484 nucleotides) under uncultured bacterium. Its description in RNAcentral is "partial 16S ribosomal RNA". It matches the Rfam family "Bacterial small subunit ribosomal RNA", at positions 30 to 507 of the family's 1533-position model. The record is from RNAcentral.